GGGUGAGUAACACGUGAGCAAUCUGCCCCUGACUCUGGGAUAAGCGCUGGAAACGGCGUCUAAUACCGGAUACGAGCUGCGAAGGCAUCUUCAGCAGCUGGAAAGAAUUUCGGUCAGGGAUGAGCUCGCGGCCUAUCAGCUUGUUGGUGAGGUAAUGGCUCACCAAGGCGUCGACGGGUAGCCGGCCUGAGAGGGUGACCGGCCACACUGGGACUGAGACACGGCCCAGACUCCUACGGGAGGCAGCAGUGGGGAAUAUUGCACAAUGGGCGCAAGCCUGAUGCAGCAACGCCGCGUGAGGGACGACGGCCUUCGGGUUGUAAACCUCUUUUAGCAGGGAAGAAGCGAAAGUGACGGUACCUGCAGAAAAAGCACCGGCUAACUACGUGCCAGCAGCCGCGGUAAUACGUAGGGUGCAAGCGUUAUCCGGAAUUAUUGGGCGUAAAGAGCUCGUAGGCGGUUUGUCACGUCUGCUGUGAAAACGCGAGGCUCAACCUCGCGCCUGCAGUGGGUACGGGCAGACUAGAGUGCGGUAGGGGAGAUUGGAAUUCCUGGUGUAGCGGUGGAAUGCGCAGAUAUCAGGAGGAACACCGAUGGCGAAGGCAGAUCUCUGGGCCGUAACUGACGCUGAGGAGCGAAAGGGUGGGGAGCAAACAGGCUUAGAUACCCUGGUAGUCCACCCCGUAAACGUUGGGAACUAGUUGUGGGGUCCAUU
This 715-nucleotide ribosomal RNA is filed under the name Microbacterium sp. Its description in RNAcentral is "bacterial SSU rRNA". It matches the Rfam family "Bacterial small subunit ribosomal RNA", at positions 104 to 833 of the family's 1533-position model. Lineage: Bacteria; Bacillati; Actinomycetota; Actinomycetes; Micrococcales; Microbacteriaceae. The record is from RNAcentral.